RNAcentral lists this ribosomal RNA (253 nucleotides) under uncultured bacterium. RNAcentral's name for it is "partial 16S ribosomal RNA". It matches the Rfam family "Bacterial small subunit ribosomal RNA", at positions 524 to 776 of the family's 1533-position model. The record is from RNAcentral.
UACGUAGGGCGCAAGCGUUGUCCGGAAUUAUUGGGCGUAAAGAGCUCGUAGGCGGUCUGUUACGUCCGCUGUGAAAACCCAGGGCUUAACCCUGGGCUUGCAGUGGAUACGGGUAGACUAGAGGCAGGUAGGGGAGAAUGGAAUUCCCGGUGUAGCGGUGAAAUGCGCAGAUAUCGGGAGGAACACCGGUGGCGAAGGCGGUUCUCUGGGCCUGACCUGACGCUGAGGCGCGAAAGCUAGGGGAGCAAACAGG